This 756-nucleotide ribosomal RNA is filed under the name uncultured bacterium. Its description in RNAcentral is "bacterial SSU rRNA". It matches the Rfam family "Bacterial small subunit ribosomal RNA", at positions 50 to 796 of the family's 1533-position model. The record is from RNAcentral.
AACACAUGCAAGUCGAGGGGCAGCAUGAACUUAGCUUGCUAAGUUUGAUGGCGACCGGCGCACGGGUGAGUAACACGUAUCCAACCUGCCGAUGACUCGGGGAUAGCCUUUCGAAAGAAAGAUUAAUACCCGAUGGCAUAGUUCUUCCGCAUGGUAGAACUAUUAAAGAAUUUCGGUCAUCGAUGGGGAUGCGUUCCAUUAGGUUGUUGGCGGGGUAACGGCCCACCAAGCCUUCGAUGGAUAGGGGUUCUGAGAGGAAGGUCCCCCACAUUGGAACUGAGACACGGUCCAAACUCCUACGGGAGGCAGCAGUGAGGAAUAUUGGUCAAUGGACGAGAGUCUGAACCAGCCAAGUAGCGUGAAGGAUGACUGCCCUAUGGGUUGUAAACUUCUUUUAUACGGGAAUAAAGUGAGGCACGUGUGCCUUUUUGUAUGUACCGUAUGAAUAAGGAUCGGCUAACUCCGUGCCAGCAGCCGCGGUAAUACGGAGGAUCCGAGCGUUAUCCGGAUUUAUUGGGUUUAAAGGGAGCGUAGGCGGACGCUUAAGUCAGUUGUGAAAGUUUGCGGCUCAACCGUAAAAUUGCAGUUGAUACUGGGUGUCUUGAGUACAGUAGAGGCAGGCGGAAUUCGUGGUGUAGCGGUGAAAUGCUUAGAUAUCACGAAGAACUCCGAUUGCGAAGGCAGCCUGCUGGACUGUAACUGACGCUGAUGCUCGAAAGUGUGGGUAUCAAACAGGAUUAGAUACCCUGGUAGUCC